RNAcentral lists this ribosomal RNA (495 nucleotides) under uncultured bacterium. RNAcentral describes it as "partial 16S ribosomal RNA". It matches the Rfam family "Bacterial small subunit ribosomal RNA", at positions 28 to 507 of the family's 1533-position model. The record is from RNAcentral.
GACGAACGCUGGCGGCGUGCCUAAUACAUGCAAGUAGAACGCUGAAGGAGGAGCUUGCUUCUCUGGAUGAGUUGCGAACGGGUGAGUAACGCGUAGGUAACCUGCCUGGUAGCGGGGGAUAACUAUUGGAAACGAUAGCUAAUACCGCAUAAGAGUAGAUGUUGCAUGACAUUUGCUUAAAAGGUGCAAUUGCAUCACUACCAGAUGGACCUGCGUUGUAUUAGCUAGUUGGUGGGGGAACGGCUCACCAAGGCGACGAUACAUAGCCGACCGGAGAGGGGGAUCGGCCACACUGGGACUGAGACACGGCCCAGACUCCUACGGGAGGCAGCAGUAGGGAAUCUUCGGCAAUGGACGGAAGUCUGACCGAGCAACGCCGCGUGAGUGAAGAAGGUUUUCGGAUCGUAAAGCUCUGUUGUAAGAGAAGAACGAGUGUGAGAGUGGAAAGUUCACACUGUGACGGUAUCUUACCAGAAAGGGACGGCUAACUACGUG